GGUAGUGUGGCCGAGUGGUCUAAGGCACUUGGUUUAGGUCUACAGAGGCGUGGGUUCAAAUCCCACCACUGCCA
Molecule: non-coding RNA, 74 nt
Organism: Chiloscyllium plagiosum (whitespotted bambooshark)
Lineage: Eukaryota; Metazoa; Chordata; Chondrichthyes; Orectolobiformes; Hemiscylliidae
Source: the annotation of a RefSeq genome assembly